Molecule: long non-coding RNA, 535 nt
Organism: Artibeus jamaicensis (Jamaican fruit-eating bat)
Lineage: Eukaryota; Metazoa; Chordata; Mammalia; Chiroptera; Phyllostomidae
Exons: 3
Source: RefSeq, a predicted model, not a curated record
UUUCUCUUUCCUCUUCCUCUCUUUGUCCUCGCUUUUCAUUCCACCCUCUGCCUCAGUCCUGGGUCCUCCUCGUCCAUUCUUUGUCCCCUUGUUGCCUUCCUUUUAUCUUUUCUUUAAUUGACCCUAAUAUGAACUCAAGUCAUGAAAAUUUGUUAUAUAAUAUGAAAAACUUCCAUCUGCUACUAUUCUUCACAUGCAACCCAGGAUACAAUGGAUGGUUCCAGAACACUGAAGGGCAAUACAAGAGGUACCUUGAAGAAUCAAAUGAUGAUUUUACAAAGGCCAAAUAAUAGAAAUCAGUGCUACAGGCUGAGAGAAGAGAGAUCUAUGAUUGAUAUCCAGAACUAUUUUAUCUUGCAAGAUUGAAACCCUAAAUCCACUAAACAACAACUGUGAUUAUGUCCACUCCAUGCAGGAGAAAACUGAGGUUCGGAGACAUCGAGUGAUUUGCCCAAGGUCAUACAACUAGUGGGUGACAGGGGCCCUAUUUGGAAACAUAUGGUCUGUCUUCAGCAUCAACUAUUAGUUAUUUAGC